GUCUGGGAAAUAUUUGGAUGAAAAGGUGUAAGGUUUGAUGAGGAUUGCUUGAGUUCCAAAGCCUCAUUGGACAAACUUUGAGAAGCAGUUUGUAGGACAUACUGUGGCCAAUAAUAGCAAGUGAAAUAUAUAGAGGAUAAUAAAUCACCUUCAGAUAGAACAGGGACAUCUCUCCCAGGCUGGGCUCUCCUGAAAAGUUAACCCUUUUUGGUUUCUGAAGAAUAUAGUUUGAGUACCAAUCAUUUGAUCCCUUGAAACAAUACUAAAUAAAGUGAUAUUUUACUCAGUUCCCGUGCAG
Pelobates cultripes (western spadefoot toad) is the source of this 298-nucleotide non-coding RNA. The record is from the annotation of a GenBank genome assembly. NCBI's taxonomy places the organism in Eukaryota, Metazoa, Chordata, Amphibia, Anura, Pelobatidae.